UGGGAGUUGUAGAAGCCAGUGAGAAAAACCCACCCUCACCGUACAAGAUAUGGGAGUUGAUUGAUAGAGUUUCUUGUAAGUAUUUGUAUCCUUAUUAAAAUAAUUCGUCUCUUGCACCUCAUUUGAGCCUUUUAAUUUUGCGCAAAGAAUUUGUUAGAAUCCUAGUCUUAGAUUUGCAUUAUUUCCUUUUCCGUUAAGGUUUAGUUAUUAAGUUAUUAUGUUAUUAGGAAUUAUUAUUUUCGUAGGAUCUCUUUGGCUUAUAUAAGGAACUGUUGCUACUUUAAUAAAUAAUAAGAAUUGCUUCUAAAACUCUCUUUUCCCCUCUGGCCACUUCUUCUCAUUAUUCUUCUCAUCAAUUCGUCUCUUCUAAAUUGCUAUCUCAAAGCAGUAGCCUAACAUCUGGUAUCAGAGCAGUUUUUUUCCUUGGGCAUAAUGACUGUUAAGGAACUGGAAGAAAUGGUGGAGCAAUUAUCUCAUCAAUUCAAUGAGAAGGUUGAGGUCUUAUCCCAACAGUCCAACGACCUCCAAGAAUUAAUCUUAAGUCUCCGCAAUCAAUUCAUCCGGUUUCAAGAAAAUAUAAACAACAACCAACUGUUACAAAACAAUAAUCAACAACCCGAACCUGCAGGACGUAUUGGAGGAGCACUUGUGCAACCCCGCCAUAUACGACUGGAUUUUUCGGUUUUCAGCGGGGAAAAACCGACAAGUUGGAUCUUUCGCUAUGAACAGUAUCAGCGACUAGCUGCCUUGCCUGAGAUAGAUGUGUUGUCCCUUGCUAUCGGACACCUCGAUGGAGAUGCGGUACCUUGGUAUCACUGGUUAGAGCAAACUAUGGGUAAUAUGACUUGGGCCCAAUUCAAAUGAGCUCUAGUUACUCAAUUUGGAAUAUUCGAAGACGAUGAUGCAGUCAGGUCCAUUACCAAACUACGACAGACUGGGACUGUUAUUGAAUAUCAACGCCAAUUCGAACGAUUGGCUGAUAGAACUCGGAAUCUACCAGAAUCAUUCUUCAUUAGUUGCUUCCUUUCGGGAUUACGAGAGGAUAUUAAAAUUGGAGUGCAGAUGGUGAAACCUGUAAGUCUCCUACAAACUUUUGAGCUUGCAAGAUUCCAAGAAGAAUACACGGCUGUUUCUAAUCGAAGGAUUCCACCUCGGCCUAGUAUGAGCAGGCCAUCGCCACCACUCCUUAAUUCAUCUCCCACAAUAACCAAACUAUGGGGUCAUCGCAACCCUCUUUAUUAGGCCCACCCCCUCCGAGAUCCCCACCAUUUCGAUGUCUAUCAGUUGCCGAACAAACUGAAAGACGAGCCAAAGGAUUGUGUUUCAAUUGUGAUGAACAAUUUAAACCUGGGCAUCGUUGUAAAGCUCCUCAACUUUUAUUGCUGGAUGCAGAUAUUGACGAUCAAGAUGAACAAGCUGCGACUUUCGAGGAAUUCCCAGAAACAGUAGAAGUCUCUUUAAAGGCUCUCACUAGAGCAACCCCACAAAACACCAUGCGACUGAAAGGGACUUUAAAAAAACAUAGUGUCACUAUAUUAAUAGACUCUGAUUCUACUCACAAUUUUUUGAAUCCAUCUUUGGCUAAGCAAUGUAGGUGCCUUGUCACUACUACAACUCAGUUUCAAGUUACUGUAGCUGAUGGUGGAGAGAUCAACAGCUCGGGAAAAUGUUCUCACGUCUCAGUAAAUAUUCAAGGCUUUCAAUUUCACUUGGAUUUUUUCUUACUUCCAGUAAGUGGUUGUGACAUUGUGUUGGGUGCUGAGUGGUUACGUUCAUUGGGUGCUAUAUUGUGGGACUUCUCAAAGCUAACUAUGCAGUUCACUUAGAAAGGCCAAACUGUUCAACUCACUGGAUAUGAUUCCCUGCCACCGGCUUUGGCAAGUCAUGGUGAAAUUAAUAGGUUAUUGCUUCAAGAAAAGCAAGGCAUUUUUUUUCUAGAUUAUGGCAAUAACCACUUCAGUAGCUGAUAUAUCAGCACCUUCAAUUAUUACUAAGGUCCUAGAGACAUAUUCUGGCAUCUUUGCGGAACCCACCAAACUUUCUCCUGAACGCUUAAUUGAUCACCGUAUUCUAUUACUUCCUGGAAGCUCUCCUGUUAAUGUACGACCUUAUCGUUACCCUCAUUUUCAGAAACAAGAAAUUGACCGCUUGAUUCGUGAGCUUUUGGAUGCUGGGCUUAUUCGGCAUAGUGUUAGUCCUUAUUCCUCUCCGGUUUUAUUAGUUAAAAAGAAAGAUGGCUCUUGGCGUAUGUGUAUCGAUUAUCGUGCUCUUAACAAGGUAACCAUCAAAGAUCGUUAUCCAAUUCCGGUUGUUGACAAGCUAUUAGAUGAAUUACAUGGUGCAUCAGUUUUCAAUAAGUUGUACCUUCGCUCGGGCUAUCACCAGAUUAUAGUUCAUCCCUCCGAUAUAGCAAAAACAGCCUUUCGUACUCAUUAUGGCCACUACGAAUUUCUUGUGAUGCCUUUUAGCCUUUCAAAUGCGCCAGCUACAUUUCAGAACCUGAUGAAUGAGAUUUUUUGACCCUUCCUUCGCAAAUUUGUUUUAGUUUUCUUUGAUGAUAUCCUUGUCUACAGCACUUCUGUACAGGAGUAUGCUCGACACCUCUCUGCUAUCCUUCAAUGUUUACAACAAAAUCGACUUUAUGUCAAGCUUACAAAAUGUUCUUUUGCUCAGUCAUCUGUUGAAUGUUUGGGUCAUAUUGUCUAUGCUACUAGAGUUGCUGUCAAUCCUGAAAAGGUUCAGUGCAUGCUUGAAUGGCCUAAACCUACCACUAUCAAAACUUUACGAGGCUUCCUUGGCUUGACGGGAUACUACCGUAAAUUUGUUGUUAGGUAUGGAAAAAUUGCUGCUCCCUUAACUGACAUGCUUAAACAAGAUUCGUUUACUUGGAGUCCUACUGCUGAAGCAGCAUUUGAUGAGCUACGCCAAGCCAUGGCUUCCACUCCCGUUUUAGCCUUGCCGAAUUUCACCAAACCAUUUUCUAUAGAAUGCGAUGCUUCCGGUCGGGGAAUCGGACCAGUCCUCAUGCAAGAGGGCCGUCCACUCGCUUAUAUUAGCAAAGCCUUAUCUAGAAAAAACUUAGCCAUGUCCACAUACGACAAAAAUGGCGUCCGUAUCUUAUGGGACAGCAUUUCAAAAUUCUUACGGACCAUCGCAACCUUAAGUAUUUCCAUGAUCAGCGCAUUUCCUCUCCGGAAUAGCAGAUGUGGUUGUCUAAACUCUUAGGAUUUGAUUGUGAAAUUAUUUAUAGGAAGGGAGCUGAAAAUUCAGUUGCGGAUGCUUUGUCUCGUCGCUUUGAAGACUCCCAUUUCCAUGCCAUUUCUUCCCCAAUAUUUUCUCAUCUUACCGACAUCAAGAAAGAGUACAAAGCCGACCCAGCCCUGUCACUUCUUAUCGACUGUCUUCAGUCAUCCCAAUCUGUUCUUUAUUAUUCUUAUGAUGGCUCCAUUUUACGAUACAAGAGUCAAAUUGUUAUUCCUUCUUCUUCUGUUAAGUGCCAGCACAUUUUACACGAAUUUCACGCCUCUCCAACUGGCGGUCAUUCGGGAUUCUUACGCACUUACAAAAGACUCAAAGCUAGUUUCUACUAGAAAGGGUUAAAAAGGGCUACUAAAUUAUUUGUUGCUGAAUGUGAUGUCUGUCAACGAAACAAGGCUGAAAAUGUGCAUCCUUCCGGGUUGCUUCAACCUUUGCCCAUCCUUGAUAAAAUUUAGGAAGAUAUCUCCAUGGAUUUUAUUGAUGGUCUUCCAACUUCUAAGGGCAAAACAUCUAUUUUUGUUGUGGUAGAUCGUUUGUCUAAAUAUGCUCAUUUUAGUGCCUUAUCCCAUCCUUAUACAACCGCUCUUGUCGCUAAAAUUUUUGUGCGGGAUGUUGCUAAAUUGCACGGAAUGCCUCACACCAUUGUCAGCGACCGUGAUCCUAUCUUUCUUAGUCAAUUUUGGGAGGAAUUCUUUCAAUUACAGGGCAGUUCUUUAUGUCGCAGCUCUGCUUAUCAUCCUCAAACGGAUGGCCAAACCGAAGUUGUUAAUCGCUCCUUGGAAGGAUAUUUGAGGUGUUUUGCUGGUCACCAGCCUUCUACAUGGACUAACUGGUUACCUUGGGCUGAAUGGUGGUAUAAUACUACAUUCUAUUCUGCUAUCCAACUGACUCCCUUUGAAGUAGUCUAUGGUCGGCCCCCCCUCGCCAUCCGCCUUGGCUGCCUGGCACAACUAAUGUUCAUACUGUUGACUUGGCUCUCUACGAUAAGGAUUUGAUUUUAUGUCUUCUUAAAGAUAAUUUGGAAGCUGCCCAGUCACGAAUGAAGUUUUUGCUGACAAAAAACGUACAAAACGAGUGUUUGCUGAAGGGGAUUGGGUGUACCUUCGUCUUCAACCUUAUCGGCAGUCCACUUUGCAUCCUAAUGGUACUCAUAAGUUAUCUCUGCGUUAUUAUGGUCCUUUCUGGAUUCUUUCUCGCAUUGGCACUAUGGCUUACAAAUUGGAUCUUCCAGCUACAAGCAAAGUUCAUCCUGUUUUUCAUGUUUCAUGCUUAAAGAGGAAACUUGGGGUUCAUACACCAUCACAACAACUUCCUGAUUCUCUUUAUGUUGUUGCUUGGGAAUGGCAGCCCUUGGCCAUUUUGGAUCAUGGAAUUUUCAAACGCAACAAUCGCCCUGCUACUAAGCUCCUUGUUCAGUGGCAAGGUCAGUCUAAGGAAGAGGCUACUUGGGAGGAAUGUUCUGAGUUUGCUGCCCGUUUUCCUUCUUUCCAGCUUGCGGACAAGCUGCCUUCUUAGGGGGAGGGGAUGUUAGAAUCCUAGUCUUAGAUCUUCAUUAUUUCCUUUUCCGUUAAGGUUUAGUUAUUAAGUUAUUUGUUAUUAGGAAUUAUUAUUUUCGUAGGAUCUCUUUGGCUUAUAUAAGGAACUGUUGCUACUUUAAUAAAUAAUAAGAAUUGCUUCUAAAACUCUCUUUUCCCCUCUGGCCACUUCUUCUCAUUAUUCUUCUCAUCAAUUCGUCUCUUCUAAAUUCUAUCUCAAAGCAGUAGCCUAACAGAAUUGAAUUGUUACAACUAUUUGCCUUGGGAGAAAUUAAUAAUGGAAUAUGAUGCAUUACCAUCUCAUUUUCUAUGUCAUCUUUGUAUUUGCCUGACAAUUUCUUUGAAAGUCUUAAAGAAUUUUGCAAUUUUACAAUAGGUGUUUUUGUUAAGAAAAAAAUUCUCAUUUAUGUAAUUGUUUUGUGAAUUUUCAUUAAUGGUUGUUAAUUUUCUUUAUUGGUUGGUGUAUGUUUUUUAUAUUUGAUUAUGUUCCUUAAUGUGGGAUUUUACUUAAUUUGGGAUUUCAUAAAUGCGGAUAUUUUUAUUGUAUCUAAUUAAAUUUUAAAUUUGAUUUAUGCAUCAUAAAUGCCAUUUUUGUGGAAUCUUAAUUUUUGUGGAAUAAAUUGAGCGUAAAAAAAAAGGUUUUGGACAUUCUAUUUUUACUUUAAUUAUGUCCAAAAGAAAGGAUUUUAUUUAGCAUUGUAUAUUGUAUAUACUAGGCACCUUCUCGGAAGCUAUGAUUGGAGCUUUAAUUGAAUAGAAAAUUGAGAGUGGAUUUGUUUGAGGGGCUGUAGUUGGAGCUGUUUUUCUAUUUAAGCAUUUGGUUCUUCCAUUGAAUUUUGGGAUCGAUAGAAUCUUGUAUUUGGUACAUUUAGCCUUAAUAAUUUAGCAAGAAAGUUUAUUUAUGUGGACCACCUUCUAGUGUCUUGUUAAGAUUGACACCUUGUCAAGUUUCUUAAGUGCACAAAUUUCAUGUGAUUUCUUUCAAGCAUGAACAAGGAGAUAGGUGUUAAAAGAAAAUAUAAAUUGAAAAAAAAAAUAAUAGUUGAGAAGUUACAACAGAAGGACAUGUUUUAUUUAAACUUUCUCUUUUCUUCUUUAAUUUCAUUAUUAUCUAGUUUGUUGUGUGCAUCGGAUUUCGAUUACUAUGGCCAACAAAUACUUGUGAAAUUUCAAGUAGAGAUAAGCAUAAGAGAAGCAUAUUGGCUAAAGAAUUAUAUAUAAUAUGCUAUUAUAGUAUUUGUAAGGCUCUACCUUUUUGUUACAAAUUGAUUAUUUAUUAUUUUAAUUUUCACUUGGAGAAUUUUCUUCAUACAGAUUGUUAUAUUUGUCAAAAAUUUUGUUGUAGGAUAUCUUUGAGACCGAUGUCUUUAAUCUACAAGUUUGGAAGCGUUUGAAGAAGACAAUGAAAGACAAGUUCAAGUUAAUUUUCAUGACAACUAGAAACGACUUUUUGUAGUUGAAUUUAUGUGAUUACAUUGUAAAUGUUUAAUCUAUUUUUGUUUAUUUAAUUUUAUAAUUAUUUGUUCAUUUGUACAUUCUUAAUUUCAAUGUUUGUAGUUUUUUUUAAUUGUUAUUUUAAUAUUGUAAGCUCAAUUGG
This 6390-nucleotide long non-coding RNA is filed under the name Citrus sinensis (sweet orange). RNAcentral describes it as "long non-coding RNA (CSIN_LNC003001)". Lineage: Eukaryota; Viridiplantae; Streptophyta; Magnoliopsida; Sapindales; Rutaceae. The record is from RNAcentral.